GUUCCUGCAGCGCAUUGGAUAGCGCGUUGGUCUCCUAAUCCAAAGAAUGUAGGUUCGAAUCCUACCUGGGAUA
Trichonephila clavipes is the source of this 73-nucleotide non-coding RNA. The record is from the annotation of a GenBank genome assembly. Lineage: Eukaryota; Metazoa; Arthropoda; Arachnida; Araneae; Nephilidae.